CUUUGCUUCUAUUGUCCCAAGGAUUUACAAGUUUCCUUCAGUGCUUUCAGUUCCUUCUUCCACAUACAUUCAUGAUGGGGAAUGCCUAACAGGGCUGUCUGUGCAAUGGGCAGGGACCGGACUGGGCAGGUAGAUUCUCUAACAUUCUUAAACUUCUCCAGUAGCUCCAGUGCUCCAGGCCAUGGCAGCAUUGCCUCCCCUCAACUCGUCGGCUUCUCCUGGGCUUGUUUAUUCUAGGCCUUUUGUAGUCUUGCCUGCUGCUUCUACACAGCCUUGCUUCUUGAAUAUGAGGCGCUGCUGAUUUGGGAUUUGAGAUGACAAGCCAGGUGAAGCUAAGUGGAUCACGUUUGUUUGAGCCAAUGUGCAUGCAGGUCAGAGACUCAGAGGGUGGACAAAGUAUUGGUUUGAAAAGUAGCCACCUUUCUCUUUUUCUAAAACUACUUGCAUUUUUUAAGUCAGGCCUCAGAGGGACUGGAAACAUUCUUCUUUACAGACCCCAUCAGUGAUUCGUGAGAGCAUUUGUUCUAGAUUUACUCAGCUCUGCAGCUGAAAAAUGCAGCAGGCAGAAAGCUAACUUUGGAACUGUUGGAGGGCUUACCCCCUGACACCAGCAUACAUUUUCUUUCCUAGCUGAGGACGAAUUAUAUAAAGGACCACAUGGAAAAACUUCACUGGAAAAGAAAUAAAGUAUGCCUAAGCUUAUACUCAGCUGGCCAAGAGGGGCCUAUUGUAGCCAGCGGAUAAAUUAAAUAUUGACAAGACAAGAAGAUCGCUCAAUGAAAGGGGAGUGCCGCGGGACUUGGCACUGAGGACCACUGAGUUCAUCCAUAGCUUUGUCCAGGAUCACUUUUCGACCUUGGCAUGUGGACUCCUGGUCAUGGCCCCAAAUGCUUGAGCUCCAGCCUUCCUGGCCACACACUCCAGGCAGCUGGAAGGAAGAAGAGAAGGAUGGGCUGAAGCCCCAUCCCUUUAGGAACACCUUGCUUUACACUUCUGCUCUCAUCCCAUUGGCUGAAACUUAGUGACAUGCCACAUGACUGCAAAGGAAGCUGGGAAAUCCAGUCUUUACCCUAGAGGACCAUGUGUGCAGUUAAAAAUGUGGGAUUUUAUUGCUAAAAAAGAAGAGGAGAACAGAGAUUGAAAACAGCACUCUGCCACAUUCUGUGCUGAAGACUACAGAAGGUUUGCUGCAUAGAGACAAUACCAACAAAUUAUAAUGACCCUUUAUAGCUCUACUAUGUUCCUCCUCAUUAAGGGACUCAUUAAUACCCUUCCCCUGGGUAGCUGAGGGAUUAAUUCCUGUAGACUCUGAAUUUGUCUCUCUUUGACCAACAUUGUUCUUGUUUGCCCACAAUGGGAUGUCUAAUUCUCAACUUAGGACCGCUGUUACUGACCUCAGAGUGUUUUUAAAAUGUUCCUUUUAAAAAUAUUGUAAGGCAAUGUAUGUUUAUUGUAGAAAUUUUAGAAAAUUCAGAAAAAUAUGAAGAAGAAAGGAAUCCAACCAUAAUCUCACUAUCACAGAUACUUUCUAUUAAUAUAAUUACAUAAUAUAAACAUUUGGAAGUAUAUUUCUUCAAACCUUUUUUUUAACCUUUUACUAAACAUUUUAAAAAUAAUGCAUAGUAUAUCAUUUAGGUAAAAGAUUCAAGUGAUACGUAAGUAUACACGGCAAAACAUGAAGGUCAUACCAUAGCAUCCUUUACUUUGACUCAUUCAUUUAUCUAAUCAUUCAAAAAUACUGAGUUUUAAUUAUAGAGUUAUAACAGUAAUUAUGACAGAUGCAUACCUGUCCUUACAGUGCUUACCUUCUAGAGUGGUACAAAGACCACUUAUGAGAGGGAAAAAAGAUGAGCUAGAGAGGGUUCCUUCAGGUAUGGGUGGUGGUAAUGCUUUUGCAAGUCACAGAAAGCCUAGGGACUCUAACCAAACAUCCAGAGGCACAGUUUGACUCAGCCAUUCAAAUGACAUUAUCAAAGAACUGGGUGCUUGCUCCAAUUAUUGGCUUAGCUACCUCAGCAUUGGUACUGUUCUCAGUUGGGCUCCAUUCUCCCUGACAUGAGAUAUCCUACAGCAACAGCUAGUACUGUAACUUUUCUCAUUCCUAGCUGUUACCUCAUCAACCCUACAAACCAUAGAAUGAAAUUUCAUUGUUCUACUUGAACUGACCUGGCCCAUUCCUAAAUCAAUAGUUUUAGCCAGGAAGAUGGAAUACAUUGAUUGGCUUAAGCUAGUUAUGACCCAUUCCGGGAACUGAACAUGGGAUUAGUCCUAUCAAAGCCACUUGAAAAGGAAAAUUGUGGUCCAUUUAGGAAGAGAAGCAAGAAAAUUGUUACUAUGUGGUGGAGGUGGAUGGCUAAUGAUCACUAUACGAAUAACGACGCUUCAUGGAUGAGAACGAGGCAGCCUCCUGAAGAGUCAAAGGAAAAGUGUUUUAAAAAAGAAAAAGGUUCUGUGAGUUGAGAGAGAGGCUGGCAUGUUCAAAAUAUUAGAAAGCCAGAAUUGCUGGGUGAGAGAGAGGUGAGACAUUGUGAUUGUCAUCCUUCCAGUCAUGUUUUCUAUGUAAAACAAAUAUUUUUUCUUUCUCUACUUAUAAUGAAAAUCAUGUUCUAUGAAUUGUUUUCUGACUGGCCUUUCUCACUGACAAAGAAAAAUGCCUAACAAUCCUGCACAUGUACCCCUAAACCUAAAAUAAAAGUUAAAUAAAAGAAAAAUGCCAUGCAAAUGUUUUUGUGUCAGUACAUAAAGAUUUAUGAUAUUCUUUCUGAAGGCAGUGGUUAUGUGUAUCAACAGUUUUUUUGAAC
This 2801-nucleotide long non-coding RNA is filed under the name Homo sapiens (human). Its description in RNAcentral is "HSALNT0094919". The record is from RNAcentral. Lineage: Eukaryota; Metazoa; Chordata; Mammalia; Primates; Hominidae.